AAGACCUUGCGCUUUUGGAGCGGCCGAUGCCUGAUUAGCUAGUUGGUGGGGUAAUGGCCUACCAAAGCUUCGAUCAGUAGCUGGUCUGAGAGGACGGCCAGCCACACUGGGACUGAGACACGGCCCAGACUCCUACGGGAGGCAGCAGUGGGGAAUUUUGGACAAUGGGCGCAAGCCUGAUCCAGCCAUGCCGCGUGAGUGAAGAAGGCCUUCGGGUUGUAAAGCUCUUUCAGCCGGGAAGAAAAGGUUGCGAUUAAUAAUCGCAAUUGAUGACGGUACCGGAAGAAGAAGCACCGGCUAACUACGUGCCAGCAGCCGCGGUAAUACGUAGGGUGCGAGCGUUAAUCGGAAUUACUGGGCGUAAAGGGUGCGCAGGCGGUUUUGUAAGUCAGAUGUGAAAUCCCCGGGCUUAACCUGGGAACU
RNAcentral lists this ribosomal RNA (423 nucleotides) under uncultured bacterium. RNAcentral's name for it is "bacterial SSU rRNA". It matches the Rfam family "Bacterial small subunit ribosomal RNA", at positions 207 to 622 of the family's 1533-position model. The record is from RNAcentral.